GGUUCCAUGGUGCAACGGUCAGCACUCUGGACUUUGAAUCCAGCAAUCUGAGGUCAAAUCUAGGUGGAAUCU
This 72-nucleotide transfer RNA is filed under the name Stegodyphus mimosarum. It matches the Rfam family "tRNA". From Rfam's summary of the family: Transfer RNA (tRNA) molecules are approximately 80 nucleotides in length. Their secondary structure includes four short double-helical elements and three loops (D, anti-codon, and T loops). Further hydrogen bonds mediate the characteristic L-shaped molecular structure. tRNAs have two regions of fundamental functional importance: the anti-codon, which is responsible for specific mRNA codon recognition, and the 3' end, to which the tRNAs corresponding amino acid is attached (by aminoacyl-tRNA synthetases). tRNAs cope with the degeneracy of the genetic code in two manners: having more than one tRNA (with a specific anti-codon) for a particular amino acid; and 'wobble' base-pairing, i.e. permitting non-standard base-pairing at the 3rd anti-codon position. The record is from Rfam by way of RNAcentral. Lineage: Eukaryota; Metazoa; Arthropoda; Arachnida; Araneae; Eresidae.